UACGAAGGGGGCUAGCGUUGCUCGGAAUCACUGGGCGUAAAGCGCACGUAGGCGGAUCCUUAAGUCGGGGGUGAAAUCCCGGAGCUCAACUCCAGAACUGCCUUCGAUACUGAGGAUCUCGAGUCCGGGAGAGGUGAGUGGAACUGCGAGUGUAGAGGUGAAAUUCGUAGAUAUUCGCAAGAACACCAGUGGCGAAGGCGGCUCACUGGCCCGGUACUGACGCUGAGGUGCGAAAGCGUGGGGAGCAAACAGG
This 253-nucleotide ribosomal RNA is filed under the name uncultured bacterium. RNAcentral's name for it is "partial 16S ribosomal RNA". It matches the Rfam family "Bacterial small subunit ribosomal RNA", at positions 524 to 776 of the family's 1533-position model. The record is from RNAcentral.